RNAcentral lists this ribosomal RNA (408 nucleotides) under uncultured Actinomycetes bacterium. RNAcentral describes it as "bacterial SSU rRNA". It matches the Rfam family "Bacterial small subunit ribosomal RNA", at positions 353 to 772 of the family's 1533-position model. The record is from RNAcentral. Lineage: Bacteria; Bacillati; Actinomycetota; Actinomycetes.
AGUGGGGGAUCUUGCGCUAAUGCGCGAAAGCGUGACGCAGCGACGCCGCGUGGGGGAUGAAGGCCCUCGGGUUGUAAACCCCUUUCGGCAGGGACGAAGCGAAAGUGACGGUACCUGCAGAAGAAGUCCCGGCUAACUACGUGCCAGCAGCCGCGGUAACACGUAGGGGACGAGCGUUGUCCGGAUUCAUUGGGCGUAAAGCGCGCGUAGGCGGCUCGGAAAGUCGGUCGUGAAAGGCUGGGGCUCAACCCCGGGACUGCGUCCGAUACUUCCGAGCUGGAGGUAGGUAGGGGAGAUCGGAAUUCCUGGUGUAGCGGUGAAAUGCGCAGAUAUCAGGAGGAACACCGGUGGCGAAGGCGGAUCUCUGGGCCUUACCUGACGCUGAGGCGCGAAAGCUAGGGGAGCGAA